RNAcentral lists this long non-coding RNA (459 nucleotides) under Rattus norvegicus (Norway rat). RNAcentral describes it as "long non-coding RNA NONRATT026256". Lineage: Eukaryota; Metazoa; Chordata; Mammalia; Rodentia; Muridae. The record is from RNAcentral.
AGUUCAUACCCACCAGCAACAAAAUUCUCCAGUGACUGUCAUUCAGAAUAAAGCUCCAAUUCCCUGUGAAGUCGUUAAGGCAACAGUAAUCCAGAACUCUGUCCCCCAGACAGCAGUUCCUGUGAGUAUCGCUGUUGGAGGACCUGCACAGAGCUCUUUAGCUCAGAAUCAUAGUGCAGGGCCACAGCCUGUUACAGUUGUAAAUUCUCAGACAUUGCUUCACCAUCCCUCUGUGAUGCCACAGCCAUCUCCACUACACACAGUGGUGCCAGGACAGAUCCCGUCAGGAACUCCUGUCACAGUAAUCCAGCAAACUGUACCACAGAGUCAUAUAUUUGGACGAGUACAGAACAUACCAGCAUGUACGUCCACAGUUUCACAGGGUCAGCAGUUAAUCACCACGUCACCACAGCCUAUGCACACGUCAUCUCAACAGACAGCAGCUGGUAGCCAGCCACA